UCCCUGCAGCCAAUCAUUUGGGGCAUGACUCUCUCCCAGCUUUUACUUUGAAAACUGCAUGUGCAAGAAAAGCAACUAAAAAGAGCCUGGCUAAGACUGGUCUGCUGGCAUGUAGCUCCUACUUUGUUCAUGCUUCACACAAGUAUCAAUUACUAAGUGAAGUACAUACAGUGAAAAAUCAGAUCUUUUUUUUUUUUUUUUUUUUUUUUUUUUUUUUUUGUCUAGAUGUUGGAAAACAUUAAUUUAAAUUUUGAAUAUCUGUCUUCUAUGAUCAUAUUCCUGCCCCCUUUUUACUUGCUAGUUACAAAUAUUCAUGUGCAUGUAUUAUUGUUUCCAAGGAUGUAUGGAGAAUAAUUGUUCUACAUAUGGAGACGUGUAUUUGCAUGAUCACAGAGGAUACACCAGUGCAGGCUUAUGAGAGCAUACGUUUCCUUUCCCCAGCUCAUGGAUCCUCCCUCCUCAAACUAAAUAUCUGUAGUGUCUUGGAAAGAAAUUUGUCCUGAACAACAACAACAAAAUGUUUUCUUCCCACUGGUGUGAUAAUUUAGUUCACAAACUUAGAGACAAGCCUGUGCCUUGAAGAUUUUGCCAUCCAUUUGUGUUGAAUCACUGGCUUAAGACCAAGGCUGAAGAAGAAGUGCAACCAUAUUGAUAAUUUACUAGAAGUAAUGUGUGUACACAUUUUUAGCUAAUGGAACGUUACUAUUAUAUUAAUUAAAGUUCACAUAAUAUUAAUUGUGUUACACAUAAGCUCUUCUUAAAGGUUUUCACAGUAUAACUCCAAGAUGCCAUUCUGACUUUUAAUUGUCUUCAUUUUCCAUUCAUAUUGGCUGUGUACAUCACUUUUAGCAUUGGCUAAUGAAACCAUGUCUUCAACCUAUAUAAAAGCAGUAUUUGCCAACAUCACACACUGCACACAACUCAUAAUAUUAAAAUACUUAUAUAAAGUAAAUUUAAACAAACAAACAAACAAUGUUUGGCUUAAUCCUAUUAAACCAGACUUUCUUAAGAGUUACUGCUUUCAUACAAAAUGCAUACUAAACAAAAGGACAUGGAAAUGUUACUUUAGUAAACGCAUCACUAUGGCAAGGACAGUGGCCGCUGGGUGUCACUGUGGAUCCAUGCAGUUUUAUACAAAAUACCUUCUUUGGCAGUACAAAUGUUUCUGUUCUGGUCCUGUGAACAGCAUGUGCCCUCUUAACUGUUUGAACAUUCCUACAGAGAAGACAGAAAAGGAGAGUGUAUGAUUAUGGAGAAAGACUUUCCUUUUCUUUUCCUUUUUUUUUUUUUUUUUUUUUUUUUUGUUAACCUCACAGAAGACUAAUAUACAGAUAUACACGACUGGCAAAUCCAAAGAUAUAUAAAGAUAUAAAGGAGUGGCAAAAUGGAACUAAGCUUCAUAUGUGGGUUAUUAGCCAUUUUGUGUGACGAAGACAUAGACAGGAAUGGAAAAAAAUGAAGUAAGUUUGAAAUGUGUGUGUUUUGUUUAAAGGUUGUAUGUAGCAUGUACAUGUAUAGUGACAGGUGAAUUUAAAACGUAGUACAGUCAAAGCAAAGAAGGAGAAAGAUUUUUAUGUAUUAUACCCAAUGUUAAUAAUAUUUGCAAAAAUUCACUAGUUCAUGGUAUUGCAAACAUGUGCCUGGAUUUUACCAGCAUUUUUUUCUGUUGCUCUUUAGUGUGUGGUAUGCACAAACAGCAGAGGAUUCUGAGAAUAUUGAAGGUCCUAGUGUAUGAAAGAACAUUGAAUGAAGUACUGAAAAACAGAGAAACAUACUCUUACUUUUAGCCUGUUACCUACAAUUUUUGGACAGAGUGAGUAAUUAUUUAUUGUAGUUCCCUUGUAUGACUGAAAAUGAAAGAAACAGUGGAAUUAAUAUUGUGAAACAUUACUUCAAUGGAAUAUUGUUUCAGUGGAAGAUGUUACAUUUCCUAUUUUGUCCUUUUUCAAUGACUUUGAUGUUUUCUCUUUGGACAGACUUCUGGAAAUUUUUCCUAUUUCAAGUAUCAUAUUUUUCUCCAAAUCAGUUUUCCAUUUCUGUUUUCAGUAUAGCUCCAAAUGUUAAUUAUUUUUA
Long non-coding RNA from Anas platyrhynchos (mallard), 2073 nucleotides. RefSeq lists it as uncharacterized. The record is from RefSeq and is a predicted model, not a curated record. NCBI's taxonomy places the organism in Eukaryota, Metazoa, Chordata, Aves, Anseriformes, Anatidae.